CGCUCAUCCAGAGGGGCAGAGGGACACGGCCCGUUGAAGCCCCGGCAACCCUCCAGUCGGUUCUCGCGAUCGCGCAUCCAGCGACGUCAGCGAGGUCCCCGGCUAGGGAAGGUGCCAAUUCCGUCUCAUGGCGAAGUGCGCCAUGGGGAAGAUGAGGA
This 158-nucleotide non-coding RNA is filed under the name Streptomyces sp. RNAcentral describes it as "SAM-I sequence". It matches the Rfam family "SAM riboswitch aptamer (S box leader)". From Rfam's summary of the family: The SAM riboswitch is found upstream of a number of genes which code for proteins involved in methionine or cysteine biosynthesis in Gram-positive bacteria. Lineage: Bacteria; Bacillati; Actinomycetota; Actinomycetes; Kitasatosporales; Streptomycetaceae. RNAcentral also lists the same sequence under 1 other name. The record is from RNAcentral.